RNAcentral lists this long non-coding RNA (553 nucleotides) under Felis catus (domestic cat). Its description in RNAcentral is "lncRNA (ENSFCAG00000051655.1)". Lineage: Eukaryota; Metazoa; Chordata; Mammalia; Carnivora; Felidae. The record is from RNAcentral.
UCACUUAAGGUCACCCCUCUCUUGGGCACUAAAACUUGGAGUUAGAAUUUGGACUGCAAGGUUGGACAUAAAGCUUGAAAAAGCGUUUUCAUUUGAUUUCUCUGAUUCGUUGUAUACACUGAAUUAUUUUUUUCCCUUUUAAAACCUUGCAGUCCGGGACGUGGACGUAUUUAAGAGCUCCUCCGGUGUUGGGCAUAGUAGUUGCCGAACAGCAUUUCACUUUACUAAGAUCAUCUGAAAAGAAAUAAGAACGGAGAAGGAUUACACGUGUUUUCCUUUUCUUCUUGUUCUCAUUAUCUUUCUGUAUUUGUGCUUCAAAGAUUUUCAGGUAGAACUCUCCGGGCUGCCGUGAGAUAAUUUCCCCGACUCCAAUCCGCCGUCUCUCACAAAGGGUAAGGAGGAGGCUCGGGGAGAGCCAGGGACCGGCUCAAGGUCCAGUGACAAUGGCUGAAACAUGUCACAUGGGUCCCGAGCUAUUUACUCACCGAGCGUUCCUUGAUGCUGUGCCUGGAACAUCACCUGGUUUUGCAGGUAAAGAGAUCUUGGAAACGAC